This 490-nucleotide ribosomal RNA is filed under the name uncultured bacterium. Its description in RNAcentral is "bacterial SSU rRNA". It matches the Rfam family "Bacterial small subunit ribosomal RNA", at positions 29 to 512 of the family's 1533-position model. The record is from RNAcentral.
AACGAACGCUGGCGGCGCGCCUAAUACAUGCAAGUCGAGCGAGAAGGUGUAGCAAUACACUUGUAAAGCGGCGAACGGGUGAGGAAUACAUGGGUAAUCUACCAUCGAGUGGGGAAUAACCAACCGAAAGGUUGGCUAAUACCGCGUACGCCUCCGAGUCUUCGGGUUCGGAGGGAAAGCUGCACUGUGAGUGUAGCGCUCUUUGAUGAGCUCAUGUCCUAUCAGCUUGUUGGUAGGGUAAUGGCCUACCAAGGCUUUGACGGGUAGCUGGUCUGAGAGGACGAUCAGCCACACUGGCACUGCGACACGGGCCAGACUCCUACGGGAGGCAGCAGUAAGGAAUAUUGCGCAAUGGGCGAAAGCCUGACGCAGCGACGCCGCGUGGGGGAUGAAGGUCUUCGGAUUGUAAACCCCUUUCGGGAGGGAAGAUGGAGCGAGCAAUCGUUCGGACGGUACCUCCAGAAGCAGCCACGGCCAACUUCGUGCCAGC